RNAcentral lists this ribosomal RNA (898 nucleotides) under Pyrenochaetopsis sp. RNAcentral's name for it is "partial large subunit ribosomal RNA". It matches the Rfam family "Eukaryotic large subunit ribosomal RNA", at positions 23 to 938 of the family's 3401-position model. The record is from RNAcentral. Lineage: Eukaryota; Fungi; Ascomycota; Dothideomycetes; Pleosporales; Pyrenochaetopsidaceae.
ACCCGCUGAAACUUAAGCAUAUCAAUAAGCGGAGGAAAAGAAACCAACAGGGAUUGCCCUAGUAACGGCGAGUGAAGCGGCAUCAGCUCAAAUUUGAAAUCUGGCUCUUUCAGAGUCCGAGUUGUAAUUUGCAGAGGGCGCUUUGGUGUCGGCAGCGGUCCAAGUUCCUUGGAACAGGACGUCACAGAGGGUGAGAAUCCCGUACGUGGUCGCUGACCUACACCGUGUAAAGCCCCUUCGACGAGUCGAGUUGUUUGGGAAUGCAGCUCUAAAUGGGAGGUAAAUUUCUUCUAAAGCUAAAUACUGGCCAGAGACCGAUAGCGCACAAGUAGAGUGAUCGAAAGAUGAAAAGCACUUUGGAAAGAGAGUCAAACAGCACGUGAAAUUGUUGAAAGGGAAGCGCUUGCAGCCAGACUUGCUUGUAGUUGCUCAUCCGGGCUUUUGCCCGGUGCACUCUUCUGCGAGCAGGCCAGCAUCAGUUUGGACGGUUGGAUAAAGGCCUCUGUCACGUACCUUCUCUCGGGAAGGCCUUAUAGGGGAGGCGUCAUGCAACCAGUCUGGACUGAGGUCCGCGCAUCUGCUAGGAUGCUGGCGUAAUGGCUGUAAGCGGCCCGUCUUGAAACACGGACCAAGGAGUCUAACAUCUAUGCGAGUGUUUGGGUGUCAAGCCCGAGCGCGUAAUGAAAGUGAACGGAGGUGGGAUCCCGCAAGGGUGCACCAUCGACCGAUCCUGAUGUCUUCGGAUGGAUUUGAGUAAGAGCAUGGCUGUUGGGACCCGAAAGAUGGUGAACUAUGCUUGAAUAGGGUGAAGCCAGAGGAAACUCUGGUGGAGGCUCGCAGCGGUUCUGACGUGCAAAUCGAUCGUCAAAUUUGGGCAUAGGGGCGAAAGACUAAUCGA